AUGGUUAGGUUUGGGAAAAAGUUGAUGGCCGACCAAGUUCCAGAGUGGAGAGGUUACUAUAUAAACUACAAGCUGAUGAAGAAGAAAGUAAAACAAUAUGGGCAGCAGCUCCAACAGGGAGAGAAAGAUCGUCGCCGGGUUCUCAAGGAUUUCUCGAAGAUGCUUGAUGAUCAGAUUGAGACGAUUGUCUUGUUUCUGUUGGAGCAACAAGGAAGGCUGGCGAGCAGGAUAGAAAAGCUAGGAAAGCAAAGGGCUAUACUAGUUGAACAGCCAGAUAUAUCUGCCAUUGCUGAGUUGCGAGAAGCUUAUAGAGAAGUUGGUCUGGAUCUUAUCAAACUUCUCAAAUUCGUUGAUCUGAAUGCAACUGGCAUUAGGAAAAUCUUGAAGAAGUUUGAUAAGCGCUUCAGUUACAGAUUUACUGAUUACUACGUGUCAAGUAGAUCAAAUCACCCUUAUUCUCAGCUACAGCAGGUCUUCAAGCAUGUGGGUGUAGGAGCUGUUGUAGGAGCCUUGUCACGUAACCUUGCUGACCUUCAGGAGCGUCAAGGAAGUUAUUUGUCUAUUUAUGACCAACCAUCUUCUGCUCUUAAGGACCCAAUCAUUGAUAUGAUAAAUUCAUCAGUGGAUAAACUGACACGAUCAACUAAUUUUCUACGGUUUUUGGGGCAACAUGCCCUAAUUGCGCAAGAGGAGUCUCCUAGUACGGCAGGAGAGGAAGAAAUAGAAGAUCAAAAAUACCAUUUCGUGUCCCUUAUGCUGAAUUUGGUGAACACGUUCCUUUACAUGGUCAACACAUACAUCAUUGUGCCAACUGCAGAUGACUACUCAGUGAGCCUUGGGGCUGCUUCGACUGUUUGUGGUGUUGUUAUUGGUUCAAUGGCCGUUGCACAAGUAUUUUCUUCAGUGUACUUCAGUGCAUGGUCCAACAAGUCAUAUUUUAAACCACUUGUUUUCAGCAGUAUUGUUCUUUUCUUGGGUAAUGUCUGCUAUGCAAUGGCUUACGACACGAAGUCCCUGACAGUCCUUAUUGUUGGCCGCCUACUCUGUGGGUUGGGUUCUGCAAGAGCUGUCAAUCGACGGUACAUUAGUGAUUGUGUCCCUGCAAGGAUACGCAUGCAAGCUUCAGCAGGAUUCGUUAGUGCAAGUGCACUUGGCAUGGCUUGUGGGCCAGCGCUGGCUGGUUUACUUCAGUGGAGAUUUAAAGUCUACAUGGUUACGUUCAGUCAGUCGACUCUACCUGGUUGGUUGAUGGCAGUUGCAUGGCUACUGUACUUAGUUUGGCUAUGCAUCUCGUUCAAGGAACCAAAUCGUGCCACUGAGGCAGAUGAUACACCACAUAACCGUGCUUCUGGACAAAGUGUGGAUAUUGGGCAAGUUGAAAAUGGACUUGCACAACCAUUGCUUGGAGAUUCUGAAAGCAAACUAAACGACGACGACGAUGAUGAUGAAGAAGAUGAAAGUGAAGAAUCUGCACAAGAUUCUCGCAAGCCUGCAACUUCGAUUGGUUCAGCAUACAGAUUGCUCACUCCAUCAGUAAAGGUUCAAUUGUUGAUAUACUUCAUGCUCAAGUACGCGAUGGAGAUUUUACUUUCUGAAUCAAGUGUUAUUACAAGUCACUAUUUCAAUUGGAAUACAAGCUCAGUGGCAAUAUUUCUGGCAAUUCUUGGGUUGACAGUGCUUCCUAUUAACGCUGUUGUUGGAACAUAUAUCAGCAACAUGUUUGAGGACAGGCAACUCUUGAUGGCUUCUCAAAUUACAUUGCUAGUAGGCAUUAUUUUCAGCUUCAAAGUCACGAGCACAUACUCCGUCAUCCAGUAUGUUGUCUCAGCACUCAUUACGUUUGUUUCUGCUGAAGUCCUUGAAGGCGUCAACCUCUCACUCCUGUCGAGCGUGAUGUCGUCCCGCCUCUCCAGGGGCACGUACAACGGCGGGCUCCUCUCGACGGAGGCCGGGACCCUGGCGAGGGUGGUCGCGGACUGCACCAUCACCGCAGCGGGGUACCUGGGCAUCGGGAGCCUCCUCAACGUCACCCUGCUGCCCUCCCUGGUGAUCUGCGCCGCAUCAAUUGCAUGCACCUUCUUGACCUACAACUCCCUCUUCUAA
Molecule: ribosomal RNA, 2103 nt
Filed under: Triticum aestivum (bread wheat)
Lineage: Eukaryota; Viridiplantae; Streptophyta; Magnoliopsida; Poales; Poaceae
Description: partial small subunit ribosomal RNA
Source: RNAcentral